UACGUAGGGUGCGAGCGUUAAUCGGAAUUACUGGGCGUAAAGCGUGCGCAGGCGGUUCGUUGUGUCUGUGGUGAAAGCCCCGGGCUUAACCUGGGAAUGGCCAUGGAAACUGGCGAGCUGGAGUGUGGCAGAGGGGGGUGGAAUUCCCGGUGUAGAGGUGAAAUUCGUAGAUAUCGGGAGGAACACCAGUGGCGAAGGCGGCGACCUGGACGGACACUGACGCUGAGACGCGAAAGCGUGGGGAGCAAACAGG
RNAcentral lists this ribosomal RNA (253 nucleotides) under uncultured bacterium. RNAcentral describes it as "partial 16S ribosomal RNA". It matches the Rfam family "Bacterial small subunit ribosomal RNA", at positions 524 to 776 of the family's 1533-position model. The record is from RNAcentral.